CUGCUCUGAGGGACAUCUGGCAUCUGUUUAUUUGUGUGCUGAGAGCUUGCUUCAGUGAACUGCUGAUGGAAGAGUUCAGCAUUUCUCUGCUCAUCAGAGCUGGUUUAUUUGUUUAAUCAGCAACUCUGUGCUCUUGGUUGUCUGUGCCCUGUGAAGCUGGGACUGUGCUUCCACAUCAGUAUUAGAGAAGGAUUACGUUGCAAUUCAGCUGGAUCUUUCCAUUCAACAUGCAGCUAUGCCUACUUUUUCAUUUGUGUUAGGCCAGACCGUCACAUUGCAACAAAGCUACAUCAGCUUAUGCUGGGUGAGGGGUCCUGCAAAUGCUUCAAAGUACUGCCAAAAUAAUCCCCUGAUAGAUUAACUGCCCACAGCUGUCAGUGAUCAAUGCAGUCACUCUCAGGUGAGUCUGUGGAGAGAAAGAGGGGGAAGCCACUGACCACACCAUUGCUUGGAGGAGUAACACGUGUGCUUCUUCCUUUGCCUAUUGCCGUCUUUGGGGAGGAACAGGAAGAAAAUUACCUUCAAGAAAUGGUUGAAUGUAGAAUUUUUAAAGGUCUAGAGAGGUUAUGUCAGACAGGACUGGUAAUGCCAUGCAACCAUAAUGGAUGCACUCUUCUAAAUGAAAAUAAUUUGGAGUGGCAAAUGUAGAAAGGGUGGCAGAAUAAGUAUAAAUAAGACAAAGAAGGCUGAGGUCCAUGUGGAAUCAAUUGUUGCUAUGGAUGUCAGGGACAGCAGGAAAUAUAUGUCAAUAACAAAAGGAGAAUUAAGGAUAACACGAGCCUGUUGGCAAAUGAAGGAUGGGCCCUGAUAACAGAAGCACUGAAUGCCUUUUUUUGCAUUGGUCUUUACUGACAAGACCAGCCAUCAGGAAACCCUGACCUGGGAGCCCAGGGUAAAGGAGUGUUGGAAGACUUUUCCUUGGCUAAAGAGGAUUGGACUAGAGGACAUCCACAAGUCCGUGAGCCCAGGCAGGAUGCCUCCAUGAGUGCUGAGAGAGCUGGCAGAUACCGUACCGGGCUACUCACCAUCAUCUUUGUGGCAACGAGGAGAGGUACCUAAAAGAUUGGAAUGUGAAUGUGACCUCAGCCUUCAAAAAUGGCAAGAAGGAGAACCUAAGGAGCUACUGGCCAUUCAGCUUCACCCGAGCUCCUGGAAAAGGAAGGAGUACCUCAUUCUGGAGGCCUGCUGGAAAGCAUCUCUGUAGAGAAGGAGCUGGGAGCCCUGGUGGACAACAAGCUGUCCAUGAGCCAGCAGUGCCCUUGUGAACAAGAAGGACAAUAAGGUCCUGUGCUACAUUAAGAAGGGCACUGCCAGCAGGUCAAGAGAGGUGAUCCUGCCUCUCUGCUCAGCCCUGGUGAGGCCACAACUAGAGUGCUAUGUCCAGUUCUGGGCUCCUCAGGACAAGACAGACAUGGAGCUCCUGGAGUGGGUCCACCAAAGGGCUACGAAGAUGGAGAGCGGAUUGAAACGUCUCUCUUACAAGCAAAGACUGAGGGAGCUGGGCCUGUUCAGCCUCAAGAAGAGACCACUGAGAGGGGGACCUCAUUAAUGUAUUUAAGUAUCUUAAGGGAGAGUACCAAGAGGAUGAAGCCAGGCUGUUCUCUGCCAAAGCAAUAGAACAAGAGGCAAUGGGCAGAAACUGAUGCACGGUAAAUUCCGGCAGAACAAAAGGAAAAAAAUACGUUUUUACUCUGUGGCUGAGUGUGCACUGUAGCAGUUGUCAGAGAGGUUGUGGAAUCUUGCUCACUGCAGAUAUUUAAGAACCACCUGGAUGCAAUUCCAUGCCAUGUGCUCUAGGAUGACCCCACUUGAGCAUUAAGACACUCAAGCUGCCUGAAUUGGAGCACUGCCUGAAGGGACAGGUAUUAUGAAAAGAGCUGCCAAAGCCUCUGUGUCCAUGAAAGCCAAGUGGAAAACACAGUACCAGCUACUUCCAGAUCAUUUUCCGGAAUAGCAAGCACAGAUAUGAGUUUGCCCUGAUGCAGAAAGGACCACUGUCCCUGAUAAAUAUUGCUGGUGUGAGUGCCUGUUUCUGCAGCACACUUGUGCUCAGGGGUUGGAGCCUGAAUCUGAUCUGCUCCCAAAGCAACAGCCCGAGGACUGCCCAAAGCGCUGCAGGUGCUGAAGAAGUAGACUGCCAGCCACACAAAGCCAGCUCUACAGACCUCCUUACAUUAUAUGGGAAGCAACCAGCUGAGUGAUCCAUCAUUGCCAUUUCCACUUCCCUGAGACACACAGAACAGCCCACAGAGGCACAGGAACCAGCUGCAACACAGAACAGGCAGCCCCAGCCUGCAGCAUUGCUGGGUUACCUCCAAACUGUUCCAGAUGGGUUGUGGAAUAAACUGAACGACUGGCAAUAUUCACUGCUGCCUCCUUCCUGUAUGCUGCAAUGAGAGCAAGACUGCUUUUGGACAAAGAGCUCGAGUUUCCUAUUUCUACUGUGGUUCUUGUAAUGUGCUGAAAUAGAGUACACUGUAAAGUAGCCAACAGCAAGACCAAGUGUGGAGAUGGUGGCAAACAGAGUGCACGCUUUUUUGGCAAAAUAUCUGGAAGAUGACUUUAAAGCAGCUGAAACCUGACAUACACACAGCAACAGAAGAGAAAGGUGAACACUGAGGUUUGGAUGCACAAAGUGGUCUUAUGAGAUCUUAAUUUAUCAGUUGCUUCUAAGUAGCCUUCUGACUCCCACAUCAAGGUUCUCAGACCCUGUGAUUAUAAAAGGGUGGUGGCUGGAGCAAUCCCACUCUUUGUGGAAAUCCUAUGGAAUUGGUACCAGAGGAGAGGGAAUUCUGAUUUCUACACCUCUCCCUGCCACCCAAAUCUUUCAUUUGAACAGAGUGGAUACAAGAUGAGAAGGAAAUGGUAGAGUUGAAGCCUGAGAUCUAAAAAAAAAAAGAAAAUCUGUUGACCCAUAGAGAUCUAGGAUGAGCCAUGAGGAACUGAAUAACCGAAACAGAAGUAGAGCUACUCAGCGUAACUUGCUUCAUUGAAUUGAUGUACUCUGUGAGUAGAAAUAUACUUUUAUAAUAGGUAUAGUAACUAUAGGUGGCUCAGCUCUUUCAAAAUAGCAUGGGAAAAAAAAAAAAAUCAUGCUUUAGCCAUCCUCCAGAAUAUUUUUGUCAGUUUUUGGACUUCAAAAAUAACAAAGUGUUUUCUCCCCUCUUCUUCCUGCUAUAUGAAAUCCUCAGACAAACAAGAGAGUGACUAACACCCUUUGCUAUGGAAAGAAUGAAACUGAGUAUUUAGAGAGUUGCCAAAUGCAGAAUAAACAAACUGAUACAACAAUUUCCCCUCUCUAUCUAAUAUGGUGAUCUCAGUUGGAGUUUCAACAUCAGUCCUGAAAUCCUGAGACAGAACAGUCUUCCAAACAAAUAACAUCUCUUUGAAUGUCAUUUUAGAAGAAGCAGCUUACUCUGCUGAAAAGUGGAAGCUGCUGAUACCACAAUAUUAUCCUCUCAUGGUAACAGUAUCAUCUCUUUUCAUGCAAUGUAACUGUUUCUUCCUUAGUAAUUUAAGCCAUGGAGCCCUGUGACUGCAAUUUGUGAUUCUAAGACGGUUCUCGGAAUAUUUCCCAGCACUCUCAGUGAUUGGCAACUCUGUAAAAAGCGAUAGCUAGCCCAACUAUCCAUCAAACAAAUGAGUGGUAAGUCAUUUGGAAUUUCUCCCAAUGCUAUUCAGUUUUCUGUUGAAUUUAAUUCUGUUGUGUGUAGGAGAGGUUUCCCAAAGGUUAAUAACUGUGUCAUUCUAUAUUUUGCUCAGAAAACGGAGAGCUAGAAAACCAUAUUUCAGCCUAAUUGUAUAUAAAAUACUUUUAAAAAUAGUCACCUUGAAUUAUGGAAACACAAAAAUGAAAUGUAUCUGAGGGCUUUUUAUUUUAUAUUUUCUUCAGAAUGAAUCAUUCAAGUUUGUUUAAGAAUGCUGCUUAAACUUUCUAGAAAUUUCAAAGGAUACUGGGUUUUGCUUUCCUCCCCUUUUAAAUUAAUCUACUGUUAACAUCAAAGAUAAGACUAGGAGAUACCUAGACUGGUCAUUCCUUAGUAUGAUCAGCCCACAACCCUUUGCUGGAGAGAAAUGCUUGCUACAAGUAGAAAUGAGAGGGCAUUCUUUCAUUUUGAGAUGUUGCCAACAGAAGGGGUACUGCUCUUUUCUGCGUGGACUAAACCUUCCUUGAAUACAGAGCACUUGGGUUAUGUUUCUGUCUGGUCCAGAUCAAUCUUCAACUACAUGUUCUACUUCCCAGGCACAUGCUAUAAGCAUUCUAUUGUGAGCUAUUCUUGGUGGGAAUGUUCUCCAUGGCUACUGUUGAAAUUUUGCCAUUUCCCAGAAAGGAAAGGAAGGAUUUCUGGUGCCAGAGCAUAAAAGUCAGUACUGAGACACUAUGGACUUUACAUGAACAUCAUCCAGAUUGUGAUCUUUAAAAAACAUAGAAACAACCCCUGGGGCAAGAAUCAAACCACAUUUCCUCCUUCCAGCUCACUUGUCUUAAAUAUUACACUCAUUUGCAGAAUAAAAUGGACCUCCUUCUCUACAAAGUGCUCACAAAAGCUAUGAAGAGAUGCCAAUUUAAAUAUUACAUUUUAACUCAGUGUAUGAGCUCCAUCAGUGAAGAACAGUCCCACAGAGAAGGAAGGCUCAAGGGAAACAGGCAGUCAGAAAAGAGAGUUCAGUAGUCUCAAGGCAAAGGGGCAGCUGGACCGAAAUGGUGUCCUUUCCACCGCUACCACACUCUAUUGCAGUCAGAUUUUUCCUUUCAAGUCUAGUCCUUGGACAACACUGAUGUGUUUGUGCCCCUCAUUCUGAGGUUCAACAAUGCUUCUAUCCAGAGCAAGCUGCCGCUGCCACUGAGUGAAGGAAUCCUACCUGCUUGCCCUCUCACUGUUGGUUUCUGUUCCUGUGUUUUGUCCUAUCUUGUAUCAAACAUUUAUGAGACCACAGUCUAAACUGGAUCAGGAAACUGAUGUGUCUGAAUGCUAGUGGUUAUUUUUCCUGAUGGGUUAGCUUCUAGCUAGGAGAAGAUCUCUGAGUUAGUGCCAUAGAGUCACAUGAACAUCUGUGUAAGCACAAAAGCUGGGGCUGCACAGGGCCAGGAACAGGCAACCAAGAGGGAGGAGUAGAGUGUGGAGUAGACAGAUCGGCUUCCAUUAGCAGUGCCUGUGUAUGCCAUCUUGUGUUGCUUAAGCCUUGCUCCAGGGAGCCUGGGGCUAGAUUUGCAGAAGUAUUCACAAUUACAAAUGAAUUCCUGGGGAGAUGUGCUUCUGGAAAAGAAGAGCUAUCCCUUCCUAACCACAUUGGAAAGCCAGGUGGUAGCUAUUCGAUCUACGAAAUGGGGAUAACAAUAUCACCUUACAGGAAAGGGCUAAAAAUGUAUUUGUUGCUCUUUGUGAAACACUCUGUUCUGAUGAACACUUCAGAUCAACCUAGCUGGCAACACAUCCACCUGUCUUCAGGGCUAGAGAACAACAGUUUGCAGAAAGGAAGGCAUGGAGCUGCACUCUGAUUUUCCAGGCUUCAGAGAAACUGGGGAGAAAAUUAUACAAUCAUGGAAUUGCAAUUCAUAUUAUAGAGUGGCUAUGCCUAAGAAAUUUGAAAUAAAGGUAUAUGCAGAUUGUAUUUGGGAUUUAUUACUUUUGAGUAUUUGAAUUUUCAUCCUUAAUCUUUUAAUGCAUGGGAAGGGAGUUUUUUUUAUUUAAUAAAGCAGAGAAAUUCUGCUUAUGUUGCUUUAAAAUACUUGAAUAGUAUAAUUUAAUGGCUGACAUUGUAUCACAUCACUUGCAAAUUUGAAACAAAGAACCUUUCUCCAGAAACUUCCCUUUUGUUUUACCUUCCUGUCAGGAAAGGAAAAUUUCUAAUUUUCCUUCUCUUUUCUUGCACUUUCUCCUAAGCCUGUAGCACUGUGAUUGCUUGACACAUUAUGCUGACUUACUGUACAUUGGUCUAACCAGCCAUGUUCUUGUUCCAGGUACUAAAUUAAAACCAAAAGGUAACAUCAAAAUAAUAUUUUUAAGUAUUCUGAUGUGCAUCCAAAUAAAACGUAGUUUUUUUUUUACAAAAAAACCUUUCAGCCAAGAUUAUUAACUGUGCCUUUAUUAUUAGAAGCCUUUUUGAUUCAUAAAGUUAAUGGCUAUGUCAUGCCUCUGUAAAUGCAGACUUGAGACAUGCUCUGAAUGUGUGUUUUGCAAUUCUUUUCUGAGGAAUUUACAGCUGUCUAGGUCCUAAGUGGCUCCCAUUAGUACAGUUUGUGGGCUUUUUUCUCUGUUCCAGUGGUUUGGCAGACCUUAGAAAUGCAUAAGAAUAACGCAGAUCCUUGCUAAUUGUGAGAAAGAGGCUGCUGACUGCAAAGCAGGACAGACAGGCUUGGCAGGAGGAAGCAGAAAUGUGGUUGGGUGCCUCUGUGAGCCCACAGCUGAGAGGUCACAAUUCUGGCCUGUCAGACUUGACACUGAUCAUUUCAUUUUGUACUUCCUACUUGACAAUCCCUUUGCACCAGCCUUCAGGCUCACCUGCACACUUUGCUCCAUGUGCUGCUUUAUUGCAUAUUCUCCUGCAUGCUUUAUUUUCAAAUUCUUUUUGAGGGAAAUCCUUCAAUAUUUCUACAAUGUUAAAUUUACCAAAGUGUGAAACAUUUCCUUGCAUUUAUAAAAAAAUUACAUUUUUCCCACCUCCAGCUAAUAUGUAUUUCUCACAUUGAGUUUUAAUGACUUCAAAUACUUUUAUGCCCUAUUGGUAAUUACCCGUGCCAAUUAAAUGGAACAGAUUUAAUUCAGGAUGAAUUCUUAUAAGCUGCAGAGAGUUUCGCUUUAAAAUGCCUCUGAAGUCCCUUAGAGAGUUCAAAUGAUUGUAUGAGUUGCCUAGAAUUAUAACUGGUGAAGUCAGGGAGUGUUUAUAUCUACUUGAUGUCAGAAAAGGCCUGAGUGAAAAAAAAAGAGAAAAAAACCACAGAAGUUAUAAUUCACAAGAUGUUGCCUUUCCUGCCAAUGCUGGCUAAAGAAGUUGCCUCUUGUCCCUGUCCCCAGUGCCCCAAAGCACAGCUGGCCUUUCCUUAUGGCAGUAUAACUGUUUGUGUGCUAUAAACUGGAUCACUGAAAUGAUCCAUAUGAAAGAUGGACUCUAAUCUCCAGGGCAAUAAUGCUAGAAAACACUCCAAGAACCUAAAGCCUUCUCCACAUACAGAGACUUCCUGAGAGAAUGAAUAUCCUGGAAUGCACUGAUCUUGGGCUCUACCAAAUCAUCUCUAUGUGAAUUGCUUCAUCUGUUUUUCUGGGGAGCUGUAUAUCCAAAUUGUAAUGCUUCUUGGAAGGGUGUGCUGGAUACAAACUUUCACAUGUUCAUUGUUCAUCAGUGAAUAAAUUACACACUCAGUUUCAGGGUGGUUCAGGUUCUUAGUCAGAUUUUCCCUGUGCUUCCAACAGCCCCAGCCAGCUGUACUCAGAAACAGUCCUACAUAAAGCCAAAUCUUCAGAGAGCAACAUAAAAUUUAAUUUACACUCACCUUGCUCUUCUGAGGUAAAUAACUGUGUCAUUUUCCCUUUUUGUUUAAAGGACAAUACUAAACCAGAAAUUGACUUGCCUAUGGUAACACAGCAAGUUAGUGGCAGAAGAAGGGUUGGCAUUCAAAAAUCACUGGAAUUUUGAGGCUUUUCUCUACACAGGGAAACCAGCUGUGCAUCCUUCAUUCUGUAACAGCUCUGUCAAGCAGAGACUAGUGUGUGACUGCUCUAUAAAAGAGAAGAGAGUCCUUU
This is a long non-coding RNA of Passer domesticus (house sparrow), 7742 nucleotides long. RefSeq lists it as uncharacterized. The transcript has 9 exons. NCBI's taxonomy places the organism in Eukaryota, Metazoa, Chordata, Aves, Passeriformes, Passeridae. The record is from RefSeq and is a predicted model, not a curated record.